This 443-nucleotide ribosomal RNA is filed under the name uncultured bacterium. Its description in RNAcentral is "bacterial SSU rRNA". It matches the Rfam family "Bacterial small subunit ribosomal RNA", at positions 28 to 507 of the family's 1533-position model. The record is from RNAcentral.
GAUGAACGCUGGCGGUAUGCCUAACACAUGCAAGUCGUACGAGAGUUUUUAACUCUAGUGGCGGACGGGUGAGUAACACGUGAGAAUUUGCCUUUAGGAGGGGGAUAACAAUUGGAAACGAAUGCUAAUACCCCAUAUGCUUUUGAGUGAAAUGGAUUUUAUCCGCCUAGAGAGAAGCUCGCGGCUGAUUAGCUUGUUGGUAAGGUAAGAGCUUACCAAGGCGACGAUCAGUAUCUGGUUUGAGAGGACGAUCAGACACACUGGAACUGAGACACGGUCCAGACUCCUACGGGAGGCAGCAGUGGGGAAUUUUCCGCAAUGGGCGAAAAGCCUGACGGAGCAAUACCGCGUGAGGGAAGAAUGCCUAUGGGUUGUAAACCUCUUUUUUCAGGGAGGAAUAAAAAUGACGUGUACCUGAAGAAUAAGCAUCGGCUAACUCCGUG